GUCCUCUUGUUUGUAUAUGAGGUUUGACCUGCCCGGUGAAAUUAUUUUAACGGCCGCAGUAUUUUGACUGUGCAAAGGUAGCAUAAUCAUUAGUCUUUUAAUAGGGGGCUGGAAUGAAGGGUUUGACGAGGUGUUAACUGUCUCAUUAAAUUUGUUAUUAAAAUUUAACUUUUCAGUCAAAAGGCUGAAAUUAUAUUGGAAGACGAGAAGACCCUAUAGAGUUUUAUAAUUUAAAGUUUAAUUAUUAUUUGUUUAUUAUUUUUUAUUAUUCUUUUAAUUAUUUUGUUGGGGUGACAAAAAUAUAAAAUUAACUUUUUUAUUUAAUUAACAUUGAUUAAUGAAUAUUAGAUCCAAUCUUAUUGAUUGUUAGAUUAAGUUACC
RNAcentral lists this ribosomal RNA (381 nucleotides) under Stylurus laurae. RNAcentral describes it as "partial 16S ribosomal RNA". Lineage: Eukaryota; Metazoa; Arthropoda; Insecta; Odonata; Gomphidae. The record is from RNAcentral.